This 548-nucleotide ribosomal RNA is filed under the name Nematostella vectensis (starlet sea anemone). RNAcentral describes it as "Eukaryotic small subunit ribosomal RNA". It matches the Rfam family "Eukaryotic small subunit ribosomal RNA", at positions 4 to 550 of the family's 1831-position model. The record is from Rfam by way of RNAcentral. Lineage: Eukaryota; Metazoa; Cnidaria; Anthozoa; Actiniaria; Edwardsiidae.
CUGGUUGAUCCUGCCAGUAGUCAUAUGCUUGUCUCAAAGAUUAAGCCAUGCAUGUCUAAGUAUAAGCACUCGUACUGUGAAACUGCGAAUGGCUCAUUAAAUCAGUUAUCGUUUAUUUGAUUGUACCUUUACUACUUGGAUAACCGUGGUAAUUCUAGAGCUAAUACAUGCGAAAAGUCCCGACUUCUGGAAGGGAUGUAUUUAUUAGAUUCAAAACCAAUGCGGGUUCUGCCCGGUCGUUUGGUGAUUCAUAGUAACUGUUCGAAUCGCAGGGCCUCGCGCCGGCGAUGUUUCAUUCAAAUUUCUGCCCUAUCAACUGUCGAUGGUAAGGUAUUGGCUUACCAUGGUUACAACGGGUGACGGAGAAUUAGGGUUCGAUUCCGGAGAGGGAGCCUGAGAAACGGCUACCACAUCCAAGGAAGGCAGCAGGCGCGCAAAUUACCCAAUCCUGACCCAGGGAGGUAGUGACAAGAAAUAACAAUACAGGGCUUUUCUAAGUCUUGUAAUUGGAAUGAGUACAACUUAAAUCCUUUAACGAGGNNNNNNNN